AGAGUUUGAUCCUGGCUCAGGAUGAACGCUAGCGGGAGGCUUAACACAUGCAAGUCGAGCGGUAGGGCAGCAAUGCCUGAGAGCGGCGCACGGGUGCGUAACGCGUAUGCAACCUGCCUUAUACAGGGGAAUAGCCCAUGGAAACGUGGAUUAAUGUCCCAUAGGAUUACGGAUUCGCAUGGAUUUGUGAUUAAAACUGAGGUGGUAUAAGAUGGGCAUGCGUCUGAUUAGGUAGUUGGUAGGGUAAUGGCCUACCAAGCCGACGAUCAGUAGGGGUUCUGAGAGGAUUACCCCCCACACUGGUACUGAGACACGGACCAGACUCCUACGGGAGGCAGCAGUGAGGAAUAUUGGUCAAUGGCCGGAAGGCUGAACCAGCCAUCCCGCGUGCAGGAUGACGGCCCUAUGGGUUGUAAACUGCUUUUGUACCUGAAGAAACCUGUUUACGAGUAGACAGUUGCCGGUAAGGUAUGAAUAAGCAUCGGCUAACUCCGUGCCAGCAGCCGCGGUAAUACGGAGGAUGCAAGCGUUAUCCGGGUUCAUUGGGUUUAAAGGGUGCGCAGGUGGGAAAAUAAGUCAGUGGUGAAAUACUGCCGCUUAACGGUAGAAUUGCCAUUGAUACUGUUUUUCUUGAGUAUGGUUGAGGUAGGUGGAAUGUGUUGUGUAGCGGUGAAAUGCAUAGAUAUGACACAGAACGCCGAUUGCGAAGGCAGCUUACUAAGCCAUUACUGACGCUGAGGCACGAAAGCGUGGGGAUCAAACAGGAUUAGAUACCCU
This 777-nucleotide ribosomal RNA is filed under the name bacterium AK-MB44. Its description in RNAcentral is "bacterial SSU rRNA". It matches the Rfam family "Bacterial small subunit ribosomal RNA", at positions 8 to 788 of the family's 1533-position model. The record is from RNAcentral.